GAUGAACGCUGGCGGCGUGCCUAACACAUGCAAGUCGAGCGAUUUACUUCGGUAAAGAGCGGCGGACGGGUGAGUAACGCGUGGGUAACCUGCCCUGUACACACGGAUAACAUACCGAAAGGUAUGCUAAUACGAGAUAAUAUGCUUUUAUCGCAUGGUAGAAGUAUCAAAGCUUUUGCGGUACAGGAUGGACCCGCGUCUGAUUAGCUAGUUGGUGAGGUAACGGCUCACCAAGGCGACGAUCAGUAGCCGACCUGAGAGGGUGAUCGGCCACAUUGGAACUGGGACCCGGUCCAAACUCCUACGGGAGGCAGCAGUGGGGAAUAUUGCACAAUGGGCGAAAGCCUGAUGCAGCAACGCCGCGUGAGCGAUGAAGGCCUUCGGGUCGUAAAGCUCUGUCCUCAAGGAAGAUAAUGACGGUACUUGAGGAGGAAGCCCCGGCUAACUACGUG
RNAcentral lists this ribosomal RNA (452 nucleotides) under uncultured bacterium. RNAcentral's name for it is "partial 16S ribosomal RNA". It matches the Rfam family "Bacterial small subunit ribosomal RNA", at positions 28 to 507 of the family's 1533-position model. The record is from RNAcentral.